GGUCAGCGGCGGACGGGUGAGUAACACGUGGGCAACCUGCCCGCAAGACCGGGAUAACUCCGGGAAACCGGAGCUAAUACCGGAUAACACCGAAGACCGCAUGGUCUUYGGUUGAAAGGCGGCCUUUGGGCUGUCACUUGCGGAUGGGCCCGCGGCGCAUUAGCUAGUUGGUGAGGUAACGGCUCACCAAGGCGACGAUGCGUAGCCGGCCUGAGAGGGUGACCGGCCACACUGGGACUGAGACACGGCCCAGACUCCUACGGGAGGCAGCAGUAGGGAAUCUUCCGCAAUGGGCGAAAGCCUGACGGAGCGACGCCGCGUGAGCGAAGAAGGCCUUCGGGUCGUAAAGCUCUGUUGUGAGGGACGAAGGAGCGCCGUUCGAAGAGGGCGGCGCGGUGACGGUACCUCACGAGAAAGCCCCGGCUAACUACGUGCCAGCAGCCGCGGUAAUACGUAGGGGGCGAGCGUUGUCCGGAAUUAUUGGGCGUAAAGCGCGCGC
Molecule: ribosomal RNA, 499 nt
Filed under: Geobacillus stearothermophilus
Lineage: Bacteria; Bacillati; Bacillota; Bacilli; Caryophanales; Anoxybacillaceae
Description: bacterial SSU rRNA
Rfam family: Bacterial small subunit ribosomal RNA
Source: RNAcentral